RNAcentral lists this ribosomal RNA (484 nucleotides) under uncultured bacterium. RNAcentral describes it as "partial 16S ribosomal RNA". It matches the Rfam family "Bacterial small subunit ribosomal RNA", at positions 29 to 507 of the family's 1533-position model. The record is from RNAcentral.
AUUGAACGCUGGCGGAAUGCUUUACACAUGCAAGUCGAACGGCAGCACGGGGGCAGCCCUGGUGGCGAGUGGCGAACGGGUGAGUAAUACAUCGGAACGUGCCCGGUCGUGGGGGAUAACGUAGCGAAAGUUACGCUAAUACCGCAUACGAUCUGAGGAUGAAAGCGGGGGACCUUCGGGCCUCGCGCGAUCGGAGCGGCCGAUGUCAGAUUAGGUAGUUGGUGGGGUAAAGGCCUACCAAGCCGACGAUCUGUAGCUGGUCUGAGAGGACGACCAGCCACACUGGGACUGAGACACGGCCCAGACUCCUGCGGGAGGCAGCAGUGGGGAAUUUUGGACAAUGGGCGCAAGCCUGAUCCAGCCAUUCCGCGUGCAGGACGAAGGCCUUCGGGUUGUAAACUGCUUUUGUACGGAACGAAAAGGCUCUGGCUAAUACCUGGGGAUCAUGACGGUACCGGAAGAAUAAGCACCGGCUAACUACGUG